This 374-nucleotide unclassified non-coding RNA is filed under the name uncultured bacterium. Its description in RNAcentral is "contains 16S-23S intergenic spacer region". The record is from RNAcentral.
UCCGAGUUAACCCCGGCAGUCUCCCGCGAGUCCCCAACACUACUUGCUGGCAACACGGGAUAAGGGUUGCGCUCGUUGCGGGACUUAACCCAACAUCUCACGACACGAGCUGACGACAGCCAUGCACCACCUGUACACCAGUGUCCAAAGAGACCCACAUCUCUGCAGGCUUCUGGUGUAUGUCAAACCCAGGUAAGGUUCUUCGCGUUGCGUCGAAUUAAUCCGCAUGCUCCGCCGCUUGUGCGGGCCCCCGUCAAUUCCUUUGAGUUUCAUUCUUGCGAACGUACUCCCCAGGUGGCAUGCUUACUGCGUUAACUGCGUCACUGCCCCCGAAGAGGCAACAACUAGCAUGCAUCGUUUACAGCGUGGACUAC